This 253-nucleotide ribosomal RNA is filed under the name uncultured bacterium. Its description in RNAcentral is "partial 16S ribosomal RNA". It matches the Rfam family "Bacterial small subunit ribosomal RNA", at positions 524 to 776 of the family's 1533-position model. The record is from RNAcentral.
UACGAAGGGGGCUAGCGUUACUCGGAAUUACUGGGCGUAAAGCGUGCGUAGGUGGUGAGUUAAGUCAGUGGUGAAAUCCCGCAGCUCAACUGUGGAAUGGCCAUUGAUACUGAUAGACUUGAAUUAUUGGGAAGUAACUAGAAUAUGUAGUGUAGCGGUGAAAUGCUUAGAUAUUACAUGGAAUACCAAUUGCGAAGGCAGGUUACUACCAAUAUAUUGACGCUGAUGGACGAAAGCGUGGGGAGCGAACAGG